GACGUAGGGCGCAAGCGUUGUUCGGAAUUACUGGGCGUAAAGCGCGUGUAGGCGGCUGCGCAAGUCGGAUGUGAAAUCCCAUGGCUCAACCAUGGAAGUGCACCCGAAACUGCGUAGCUAGAGUCUCGGAGAGGAAGGCGGAAUGCUUGGUGUAGAGGUGAAAUUCGUAGAUAUCAAGCGGGACACCGGUGGCGAAGGCGGCCUUCUGGACGAUGACUGACGCUGAGACGCGAAAGCGUGGGGAGCAAACAGG
This 253-nucleotide ribosomal RNA is filed under the name uncultured bacterium. Its description in RNAcentral is "partial 16S ribosomal RNA". It matches the Rfam family "Bacterial small subunit ribosomal RNA", at positions 524 to 776 of the family's 1533-position model. The record is from RNAcentral.